AAAAAACAACCCGGGGAUUUAAAGGAUCCCCGAUUCACGCCAGCCCGUGAGCCCGCUGAAACUGACAAGAGCCUGGGCAAAGGAGCUCCGAGCACACGCCUGCGUAGUCGGCCGGUGGCUCUUUUUCCCCUCCCUGCUUACCUUCUGUCAAACGAGGGGGACAGCCAGCAGCCCUGGCGCGUUCCUGUGGAUUUAACUUGUUCAUCCUGGCCAGGUCUUCUUGAGUUACACCGGACGGCACAAAAACGAGGAGGUAUCAUUAGGCAAAGGAGGGCAAAACUUCACCCAUCUGAGACAGCCGACUGUGAAAACCAGCAGACAAGAUAUCUACCUUUAGGACCUGUACUAGGGAUUUCCAAAUGCCAGGUGGUGGCCCAGACUCAGGAUUAAGCUAAGUAUAUGGAUAUGGAGAUAUGUGGAACUUCUCCAAGCAUCUGGAAGCUAAUCCUUUGGGACUAUGCCCACUGACAGAACCACAUCUUCAGGGCAAAUAGACUUGACUACUUCAAGAUACUUUCGGAAAGCCAGAAUUCACACAAAAGAGAAGAUCCAGCCAGUAGAAACUGGGCUACAACAUCAAGAGAGUCACAGGUUCCCAUCUGGCCUGGCAGCCUCCACUGUCUAGUAAGAUCUCAGCUUAGCUCAAAGGCAAUUUACCUUGAAGAAAGUCCUCUGGAUCAAGCAUGUUUCUAUACAACAGGUACAUAAAGCUUUUCACUUGUGAUUCAUCUUAAAAAUGACAAACAUUUCUGUCACUACAUGGUGUGUUUGUAAAACGCAGCAACAUGUGACCGCAUUGCUUAGCAAUGGAAAUCACAGCAAUCCUUGUUGCUAUUGUUAACUGAAUCCCACAAAUGUUUAGAUGAGGACCCUCCCAGAUCCAAGUCAUUCCUGGCUUCUCCCUCCCAGCCUCAAACCUUGGUAAGACAAGGAACUGCCUCCUCUUGAACUCCCCCUCCCAAUUUCAGUCAUUUUGGCCACCCUGCACUGUGGCACUCUGUGGCAGUGCCAUCACUAGCACUAAAGUUGAGGCCGAGAGCCUUCAGCAGUCUCUGCCAACCACCUCUGCAUCCCUUGCUCGUAUUUGGGGAUGCUUGCCUGGGCUCCGCUGAAGGCCUAUCGUUUCACUCAGGACUUCCAUGAGUAAAUGCCAAGAUUUUAUUUUUCUCCCUCUGUCAUGUAGAUAGAUGCAUACUGUACUGCAGUGGUUCCCAAACUUGGCAACUUUAAG
Molecule: non-coding RNA, 1231 nt
Organism: Thamnophis sirtalis
Lineage: Eukaryota; Metazoa; Chordata; Lepidosauria; Squamata; Natricidae
Source: RefSeq, a predicted model, not a curated record